Molecule: long non-coding RNA, 1692 nt
Organism: Oncorhynchus tshawytscha (Chinook salmon)
Lineage: Eukaryota; Metazoa; Chordata; Actinopteri; Salmoniformes; Salmonidae
Source: Ensembl
GAGAGGAGAGAGACAGUAGACAAACAGUAGUAAUGGAGAGGAGACAGACAGUAGACAGUAGACAAACGGUAGUAACAGAGACAGUAGACAGUAGACAAACGGUAGUAACGGAGACAGUAGACAGACGGUAGUAACGGAGAGGAGAGAGACAGUAGACAAACGGUAGUAACAGAGACAGUAGACAGACAGUAGUAACGGAGAGGGGAGACAGUAGAGAGUAGUAACAGAGAUGAGAGACAGUAGACAGACGGUAGUAACGGAGAGGAGAGAGACAGUAGACAGUAGACAAACGGUAGUAACGGAGACAGUAGACAGUAGACAGGCGGUAGUAACGGAGAGGAGAGACAGGAGACAGACAGUAGUAACGGAGAGGGGAGUGACAGUAGACAGACGGUAAUAACGGAGAGGAGAGAGACCGUAGAAAGACGGUAGUAACAGGGAGGAGAGACAGUAGACAGAUGGUAGUAAUGGAGAGGAGAGAGACAGUAGACAGACAGUAGUAACGGAGAGGAGAGAGACAGUAGACAAACGGUAGUAACAGAGACAGUAGACAGACGGUAGUAACGGAGACAGUAGACAAACGGUAGUAACGGAGACAGUAGACAGACGGUAGUAACGGAGAGGAGAGACAGGAGACAGACGGUAGUAAUGGAAAGACAGUAGACAGACAGUAGUAACGGAGAGGGGAGACAGUAGACAGACGGUAGUAAUGGAGAGGAGAGAGACAGUAGACAGUAGACAAACGGUAGUAACGGAGACAGUAGACAGUAGACAAACGGUAGUAACGGAGACAGUAGACAGACGGUAGUAACGGAGAGGAGAGAGACAGUAGACAAACGGUAGUAACAGAGACAGUAGACAGACAGUAGUAACGGAGAGGGGAGACAGUAGAGAGUAGUAACGGAGACAGUAGACAGUAGACAGGCGGUAGUAACGGAGAGGAGAGACAGGAGACAGACGGUAGUAACGGAGAGACAGUAGACAGACGGUCCUAACGGAGACAGUAGUAACGGAGACGGGAGCGACAGUAGUAACGGAGACGGGGGCGACAGUAGACAGUAGUAACGGAGACAGUAUAAUGGAGAGGGGAGCGACAGUAGACAGUAGAAACGGAGACGGGAGCGACAGUAGUAACGGAGACUGUAGUAACGGAGACGGGAGCGACAGUAGACAGUAGUAAUGGAGACAGUAGACAGUAGUAACGGAGAGGGGAGCGACAGUAGACAAACGGUAGUAACGGAGACAGUAGUAACGGAGACAGUAGACAGUAGUAACGGAGACAGUAGACAGUAGUAACGGAGACAGUAGACAGUAGUAACGGAGACAGUAGUAACAGAGACAGUAGACGGUAGUAACGGAGACAGUAGACAGUAGUAACGGAGACAGUAGACAGUAGUAACGGAGAGGGGAGCGACAGUAGACAAACGGUAGUAAAGGAGACAGUAGUAACGGAGAGAGUAGUAACGGAGACAGUAGUCAGUAGUAACGGAGAGGGGAGCGACAGUAGACAGACGGCAGUAACAGAGAGGGGAGCGACAGUAGACAGACGAUAGUAACGGAGAGGAGAGACACAGUAGACAGACGGUAGUAACAGAGACAGUAGACAGACGGUAGAGAGAGACAGUAGACAGACGGUAGUAACAGAGACAGUAGACAGUAGACAGACGGUAGUAACGGAGAGGAGAAAGACGG